UUAAUAGUAAAAUCUGCUCAAUGAAAAUUAAAUAGCCGCAAUUCUGUGCUAAGGUAGCAUAAUCAUUUGUCUUUUAAUUUAAGACUAGAACAAAAGAUUUAACAUUUCAAUAAAUUUAUUAUAUUUUAACUUUAAAUUUUUUCAAAAGUAAAAAAACUUUUAUCUAAAAGAAAGACGACAAGACCCUAUUGAACUUAACUUCAGUUUUACUGGGGUAGUAAAUUAAUUAUCAUUUUAAUACAUCUAAAAAUAAAGAUAUCUAAAUAAAUUAAUAAUUUAGUUACCAUAGGGAUAACAGCGUAAUUAUAUUUUAAAGUUCUUAUUUAAAAUUAAGAUUUCGACCUCGAUGUUGAAUUAGUAACCUAACUAAAGAAAAUUUUUGAAAAGGAAGUCUGUUCGACUUUUAAACAACUACAUGAUUUGAGUUCAGACCGGUGUAAGCCAGGUCGGAUUCCAUCUUCUACAUAGUUUUUUGUAGUACGAAAGGACCUAAAAAUAUAAUAUUAUUAUAAUAUUGGCAGAUAAUUGCAUUAGAAUUAGAAUCUAAUAAAACUUUA
This 557-nucleotide ribosomal RNA is filed under the name Itata sp. MCH-2001. Its description in RNAcentral is "partial 16S ribosomal RNA". The stretch from base 169 to 462 matches the Rfam family "Bacterial large subunit ribosomal RNA", at positions 2074 to 2646 of the family's 2925-position model. Lineage: Eukaryota; Metazoa; Arthropoda; Arachnida; Araneae; Salticidae. The record is from RNAcentral.